CUGCAACAGCAUGGAAACUAGAUCAAACAUUAGAGCAAAGCAAACAGUUACAUACCGUUUGGAAGCAGGUGAAUAAUUAACUAAAGGUGAUGAUGUCUUUAUAGGUGAUGCCCAGAGACAGUCUGUCAGACACUGACAGAGUGAGGUUUUGCAGCUUUAGCAGUUUUGUUGAGAUCCCUACUCAAAUAUCUGAGAUUCAUAUCAGGAUGGGGAACUUGCACUGUCCACCUGCAGACGCAUCCCAGCUGGCCUCCUUUGCUCGAGGCAUCUGCUCAUUUCCAAGCUACAACCCCAGUCCUCUUUUCAGCCAAAUGCUGUCCAUCAACUCUUCCUUUUACCUGAAGAACCACUACAAAGCAGUGCAGACUUCCCUGACCCCCGAGCAACUGGAGGACUUCACCAGGAGCCUGAGGACAACGUUUGGUAGGGAAGGCAAGGUUACUCUAGGUGGUGUUGGAGUAGUGGCUUUGUCUCUGGCCGUGUUGUUUGACACUCUUGCCAAGCAGGUCAGGGGAGAACCAGUGGCAGAGUCGGGGCCCAUUUCUGGUUUGUUUCUCAAGGAUCUCAGUGGAUACUACCCACCACAAGUUUACACGAUCAGCAGAUACUUGAGACUGGUACCCCACAUUGCUAACAACCCCUCCAGGAUGAGAGAGGUGACAGAAAGGUGCAUUCUUCAGUUGAAAGCUGAUCUCCAAGCUAUUAAAAAACUGGGUGAAUAUCACACAUUACCAUUAGAGGAGGACGUCACUUUACUGAACAUGCACUUGUCACAAUUUUUUGAGACCUUCUUGGAGAUUCAUCUCCUCCGUAUCAAAAAUGGCACUGCUGAAGACUUUCCGUCUGGAGAUGUCACAAUCCAAGGGAGCCCCAUCUUCAAUCUCAACUGUGACCCAGAGGUGGCUGACAAAGAUUUUUUGGCUGCAAUUGAAAAAUCUGACAACCGCACCCAAGAAGCUUUUCAAAAAUGCAAGCCAGAGAAUGGAACUUUAUCAACGUCAUUGCUUCAAUAUGUUGCCAAUUUGGAAUGGGAAGAUACAAAAUCCCAUGUUAUUUUUACAUUCUCAAAGACUAAAGAGGAUGAAAUAAUAGCUCAAAAAGAUGAUUUUGAUCUAAAGACCAAUGCUUUGGGAAAAUGGGAAGAACAGCUUACGGGCCAAGUAACUUAUUGGCACACACAUUUAUUAAUCUCCUAGGACCUGGCGUCCACAUAUGUGGACAUCACAUUUUUGGUUGUCUAGACCAAAAUACUAAAUUUUGCUCUUCUUCUCUUGCUCUCGGUGAAGGCGGUCGCACUUUUUUCCUCCUCCUCCUCCUCCUCCUCUCCGUUAGCUUCCCUGCUUAGCCUCUUAUGUCCUUGUCUAGUCUCGUGUUUUUUGUAUUACUUUUCCCUGGAACACUCUCUCACAGUCUGUUCUCUAAAACCUAAAAGAGGAAUUAUGGAUUUGAUCAACUGGUCCCUGAAUGCAAUUGACACCCUUUCCUCAACGAGAAGUCUGGGCUCGGGUGAGCCUGAGUGCUGAAGAUAUCUACCUAUUCGGAACCAUGAUAACAGGGUUCUUGCCGAUCGGAGCUGGCUUGGCCCUGGCUUAUCGAAGAAUUAAGGAAGCGGAACCGGCUGUUCAAACCCCCACAAGGCUGCCCGCUGGGAUUGAAACGAUGGGACGAGGCGUGAGUUUCUCAAAUGGGCUCAUUGAGUGCAGCACGGAUAAGAUCUUGGAGAACCGCACGGCUGCCGUGAAUACUCAAAACAAGAUCUCUGAGUGCAAACUGAUUACAUCUGGAGGGGCUCGCUCGGAAUAACACCUCUGAGUGCAAAUUGGAUCACAUCUUGGGAAGCGCACUGCGGUCGUGAGUUCUCAGAAUUGGCUCUUUGAGCACAAGAAUGACAACAUCACGGAGCGUAAGUUUGUUAACAUCAUGGAGAAGCUCACGGCUCUCCAACGGGAGAUUGAGAGACCAGUGUCGGACUGUUAGAACAGCUUUGAAAUUCAUAUGAGUUGUUCGCACUAAAGUAAAAACCACCAUCACUUCACAAGGAGACACCUUCGGCACCAGCUGUGGUCUCAAGGCUGGAGCUGAACAACAACACCCUGAUAAUAGACUGUGUUGAGUCUGUUCUUCCCACUCUAUGCAAGGCCACCUGGGUUGGCUGGAAGACUGUUUACUUAGGCUGGCAGGGUGAAGGACACUGUCUCAGCUGAACUCUGGACACACACACACGCACACAGACAUAUAUAUACAUGCAGAUAUACACUCAUCCCCCCUCCAAAAGCCUUCGACGCUUAUUCCCUUCCGAUGCUGACGGUGGAUCAUGGAGACCAGCGCAUAGGCUGCAGGCCCGGAUGUAAUGUCUAAAUUGGCUGUCUCUCACCCUUUACCCAUCCCUGUUGCUUGUCAUGUGUUUCUUUGGUGUAUUAAGAGUUUUUUCAUGUGCUAUGUGCAGAGGUGUUUUUUUCUGUUCUCAAACUGAUCUCCCUGUUGGAGCUCAGUCUGGGGGGAGUUAUUUUUUUUCUCCUUAUCUUUCCUCAUGUUGUGCUUUUCCAUGUUAUACCUCUCUGACCUGUCUUCCCCAUGUGAUGUUUGUGUAAUGUAUGUAUGGUCGGAGGGUAAGAUGGUGCCGCCAUUGCGUGCAAUAGGUCGGCAGCCUUAACAUGAAAUUUCCCCUUGUGGGACUAAUAAAGGUAUAUCAUAUCAUAUCAUACAAGGGCCUGAUAUCCACUAACAAGGAUAUUAUACUGCCUCUGUUUUAUCAAAAUUUAAAACGAAUGUCCUCAUAUGUGGCUCUCAUUUUUCUGAGAAACAAAAAUCAGGUUAAAAAAAUAAUAAAUCUGGUGAUUCUUUGUUUUUAUAUUCAUCGGGUCCCAAUAUGCCCAAAUAUCAAAGAGAAAUCAAAAAUGCAUGCCAUGGAAGAGUUCGGGUCUUAGAAGGUUAAAGAAAGAUGGUCCCUCGUUUAUGGCGGUAGUUACGUUCUAAAAGUUACCGGCGAUACGUGAAAUCUGCGAAGUAGCUAACUUUCUUUUUUACAAUUAUUAUAGAUAUUUUAUGGCUGUAAAACCCCUCACUACACACUUUAUACACUUUUCUCGAACAGGCAUGAACUUUUUCACACUUUUCUCUCUUGUUUAAACACUCUAAAGGUUCAAACAUUUGUAGAAAAAUAAGUCCAGUAUUACAGAAUGAGGCACCCGCAGAUGCCUUUGACGGUGCAAAAUGUUUCAUCGACAUUUUUGUGUUUGUUGGAGAAAACUUACAAACAUACAGUACAGCACUUGAGAGUCACACUGCUAGCGAUAGAAGAUUUCGAUAAAUUACAAGCUGAACUGUACUGUACACGGCACGAGAUUGAUUGACAAUGGUCUACAGCCAAUCAGAACGCAUAACACAAUGCGCUGUAAAAACAACAACAACAACAACAACAACAAAAAAAAAAACAAGCAUGCAAAAUUGCACAAAAAAAAUCAGCAAAACAGCAAGACCGCAAAAGGUGAACCGUGUUAUAGCGAGGGACCACUGUACUCAAAUAUAGCCCUCUAAAGACAGAAAAAAGAAAUCAUUCAGGUUAAUUUUUUUUAUAUAGUGCCAAAUCACAACAUUCAAAUCAAGUGAUACAUUCACUAUAAACAUGCAAGCAUUUUUAACAAAUACACCAGAAUGAAAUCCAUGAUCAGUCAUAAAGUUUUGAUACUGACUUUUUUUUUCCUUGCAUGUUUUUUUCUGCUUAUUUGUCUUUGAUACCAAUGUGUUUUAAACAGUGGUUACUUUAUUAGUUUCCUAAACUUAUACAACAAUGCAAUCCCAGCUUGUAUCACUGCUGCUACUUAGUUUAAUUGAACUACCAUUAUAAUGUGGUCUGUGUAUGUCAUUUGUGUUAUAUUGUCACAACCUGGCUCACAAGGCCAUGACAAAGGGCGGAUGCACUGUUCAGCAGUAAGAAAGUACUUUAUUAGCAUCAAAGCUGUUGAUGUGCAAAAAUCAGUAAGAUCACUGUUGUAGCGUGUGUAUGAGAAUGAAGAUUUGUGUGGCCACUGUAAAUGUAAAAAAAACAGAAAACCUUUGCAGUCUGGGAACAGACAGCCCGGGUGUUGCCACUUGAAAAGCUGGUCGGCUUGAUAUACAUAUGUACACUGUGUGUCAAAACAUUAAAUGGGUGUUUAAAUGUAAAUACUGAUCUGAAGUUUUCAAAUUACUGGAAUUUAUUUUGUACAUGUCAUUUAAAUGAAAUUUAUGUUGCUUAACUAAUUAUACUGGUAAAAGUCAAGGAUUUCUUUUUCCAGCUGAGACAGCGUAACAUAAAGUAGAAAGUUCGAUACAUUACACACACACACACACACACACACACACACACACACACACACACACACACACACACACACACACACACACACACACACACAGCACUUUUCUACUCUACCUGAGCACUCAAAGCAUUUUAUACAGAAGGAUUCAUUCACUUUUUUUUCUAUGCUUAAGCUUUCUGUCUAAUUUUUAUACUCUAAUGGAUGCAUCAGACUUGGGGUUAGUAUGUUGUCCAAGGAUAUUUGGCAUGCAGACAGGAGCAGUCAGGGGUUAAACUACCAGACUUCCGAUUAGUGCUUGACCUGCACUACCUCCUGAGCUACAGCUGCUCCAAGCUUACAGCACCUGGUAUUCUCAGCUGGUAUGGCUGUAAGUAAUGUCACCCUGAGGCCUAAGUGUGAGGCGUCCCUGGUGUGGGACAAAUGCAAUGCAAUCAUGAAGAUGCUGAAAUGGUUGCUGUGUGGUUUGGAUUGAUUGGCUAGGCCUUUUUCUUUAAUUAAACAAGAGACCACACCACUGUAUAUAAGGACUACAUAGUGCUCCGUGGAAGCCUAUGAAUGGAAUAGGCUGCAUAUGACAUCCAAAGGUACAUUCAGUUCGAUCAAAUGUUAUUUAUAUAGUGCCAAAUCACAGCAGUCUCCUCCUCAUUUCGAAUGCUGGACUUAUUAGUUGAACAAAGAGAAGCAAGAGCCUGACUGAUUUUAGGACAUAGUUCAGGAGGAGCUAUAAUCUUGCUCUCAGUUUUGUUGAUGCUUAUUUUUUUUUGAAAUUCUUCAUUUAUUGGACAAUGGGGAUAUUGCAUAUUCAUAAACCAGUUUUACAAGGUACUUCUUCUUCUUUUUCCCCCCAUGUCCUUAUUUUUAUUUUCAUUUUAAAUUUUUACAAACAAUUCAGAACUAUUUGACAGGAACAAGGGAUGUGGAAGUUAUAGUUAGCAAUAUACUAUAGAAGCAUUUGCCACACCUCAAUUAGUACCAAAAAAUUUAAAUAGUUACACUAACAUAAUAAUAAUUCACACACUGGUGGAGGCUACAGUUGUAGCCACAGCUGCCCUGGGGCAGACUGACAGAAGCAAGGCUGCCAUAUCGCACCAUCCGCCCCUCUGGCCAUCACCAGUAGGCGGUAGGUGAAGCGUCUUGCCCAAGGGCACAACGACCAGGACAGAGAGCCCAGGGAUCGAACCAGCAACCUUCCGGUUACAGAUGCGCUUCCCAGCCCCCUGAGCCACGGUCGCCCAGUGUUUGUGUCCUUUGUCAAACUAUGGACUGACACAAACUUCUGUAAUCGGUGUGAGUGUGCGAUUCUUUCCAUUAGAUAUUUACCAUCAACAACCUCUGUCCAUUCUUCUUUUGUGUUGCGGGAUCUGGUUGAAACUAGUGUCUGGCAGAAUCUUUCCUCCCAGCUGAUAUCAGGAAACCAAACAGAUACUUCUUGAAAUAUACAUUUCUAUUUAAAUGAAAAUCAGUGUUUCCCAACACAAAGAUAUUGAACUGGAAGGGUAUGUUAACGUUUAGAACCUUUUUGGAAAAUGGUAGCUGCUAACAAGAGGGCCUCUUAUUAAAAUUUUCAGCUGAUCAAACUUUGUUCAAAGAUGCAUGACAACAGACGAAAUCACAAGGAAUUAAAGACCUCAUAGAGCAGCUGAGGAGGCUUCUAGUAAUAAGCUGUGGGAAUUAUAUCAUUUUUAUAUCAUGUUUAUUCUUUUAUAUCCUUUUUAUUAAGCUUUGAGCAGUGGCAGUUGAUGAAAAGAUUUAUUCCAUUUAUUAAACAUACAGUUUUAAUCAUGUCAUUACACACAUUGCAUAUGUGCUCAUGAGAGAGUUAAGCACUCACUCUUGUGAAGGUCAUAAGCUUCGUUCAGCAUGAUGUCUGAACUGAUAUAUUGUGGGAAUGACUUGGAGUGCUGUGAAUGAAUGCACAAAUGCUUACAUACACACAGACAUUAAGUAAAAUUUCUAGGGUAAAGGUGAAACACAUCUUGCUUUGUCUCUGCUUAGCAACUAGAGAUGCAGAAGGUGUUAAAGAUAAGCAUGCCAUGAAUAAGUCUACAGGAAACAUCUGGAGAAGUCAUAGGGCAGAAUGUUGUUGAACACGGAAACUUGUUUAACUGUCAUUAAUUGUAACUAUGCAUGUGAUAUUCUUUCUGACGCGAGAAGGGGCGUGAACCCUGACAUAAUAAAACCAUUUUGAAUUUAUGCUGUGACGAAGAUCUGUGUUGACAAUAUUGAGCUGUGUAUCUUCCCACACAUGUUUAAUAAAAUCAUUGUUUUGACGCACUUGGACCAGUGGUCGUUUGUCUCACACCUCAAUCACGAAUCGGGACAAAGCCCAAUAACAACAGUGAGACAGAGGCUCUCACAAAUGACAGUGAAGCUAUUGUCAAACUGGAUGAGGUGAUGGUUGCCCUGCAGGACCAAAUCAGCCACCCUACCACAGAGCAGUGUGUGGAGUCUGCCACUCCAACCACAGAGGCUUCACACACAGACUCUGUAGGACUGAUGUCCUCUAAGGAGGCUGAAUUUGAGGUCCAAUGUAGGAAUCAACAAGAGCAGAUUGAGAUGCUCCAGAAACAGCUCCUAGCAGCUCAAAAUCAGCUCGAAGAGCAGGCUGUUAAAAAUAGGCAGGAGCAGGAGACACUCAACCUGGAAAUCAGUGACCUGAAAUCCCAGCUCUGCUCCAACAAG
Long non-coding RNA from Oreochromis aureus, 6983 nucleotides. The record is from Ensembl. NCBI's taxonomy places the organism in Eukaryota, Metazoa, Chordata, Actinopteri, Cichliformes, Cichlidae.